UGGUACAAAUGCGAGUGGAUCUCUAACAAUGGCUCUUCUAUAAGGGCCAAGGCUUAUAAGAUGCUUCCUGACUGGGGCUAUGGUCGUGUCUACACAGUGGUGGUUGUGAAUUGCACCUUCCCUGUCAAUCCAAAUCAAGACAAUGCGGGUGGAAGGCUCAUGCUUAAUGCCUAUUAUGACGAGUCUCAGAGGAAGUACGAGAAAUUCACGGCAUUGGAGGAACUACCUGGCUCUUACAACGAGUCUAAAUUCCGCCCACCUUAUCAGUACGAGUAUCUUUACUGCGGGUCUUCUUUGUACGGGAAUUUGAGUGCGUCGAGGUUUAGAGAAUGGAUGGCUUACCAUGCCUG
RNAcentral lists this long non-coding RNA (350 nucleotides) under Populus trichocarpa (black cottonwood). RNAcentral's name for it is "long non-coding RNA (PTRI_LNC001623)". Lineage: Eukaryota; Viridiplantae; Streptophyta; Magnoliopsida; Malpighiales; Salicaceae. The record is from RNAcentral.